This 915-nucleotide ribosomal RNA is filed under the name Triticum aestivum (bread wheat). Its description in RNAcentral is "partial small subunit ribosomal RNA". The record is from RNAcentral. Lineage: Eukaryota; Viridiplantae; Streptophyta; Magnoliopsida; Poales; Poaceae.
CCUUUGUGUACGAUUAUAUUCCGAACUUAACGUGUACAUAACAGAAUAAUUAGUACGUGUAAAACCUCGUACUAAUAAAAGUUUACCAAACAGAUUGUUAUGACUCCUCUGGACGUACAGACAGUUGUAAGAAUUAUACCUUGGUAAUCUACUACCUACUGGUAAAAAACGUUAUAGGCUGACUGAUUAACAUGUUAACUAUUCUGUUCCCAAGCUGAAUGAAGGGAGACGUUUGUAGAAGAAACGAGUUCAUUAAGUUCCGACACGUUACACUCUAUUAGUACAUACCACAAUGGCUUACCCGACCUUUCAAAGAUUUAAUACUCGAGACGUACUAAUUCGCCGCAGCCCUGGACAUGAAGUAAAUAACGUCUCGUUCUUUCCUUGUAGUUUCUUCGACAAUUUUACCUACCCUCUUAAACGAUUUUGUACAAAUGGAUAAAAAAAUUUCUAAUUCACAUAAGAUCUUUCUUUUAUUGACAUACAAAGUAGCUCAUUGUUUAGUCCUUGACACGUCCACACACAAGUAGAACUACCCUCAAACAGGCUCUACGACCCGCUCCCCUAACAAAGGCGUGACGUACAUAGGUUCACAAAUCCCUACGGAAAACGCUUGUUAAAAUCAAAAAAAACUCGCUCGUUUAACUAUGAAAAAAACACUUACAUAGGCUCACCCACUUUAUGAGGGGUAAACAGAACUCACCCACUUUAUGAGGGGUAAACAGAGCUCUCCAGGACCACACCUUCGAAUCGUGACCCAAACAGUAAUAACUCCGUUAUUAUCAAACUUAUACGUGUGAAAGUAAUACAUGAACGUCACGCAUUACGUAGUACACAUCUUUUUCUAUCAAUAUAAACAUAUCUCAUUUAAUGUUCCAAACUCCAUAAACUUAUUUUUUAUGAAACAACAAAGUA